AGCGAACGCUGGCGGCAGGCCUAACACAUGCAAGUCGAACGGAUCCUUCGGGAUUAGUGGCGGAUGGGUGAGUAACACGUGGGAACGUGCCCUUUGGUUCGGAACAACUCAGUGUAACUUGAGCUAAUACCGGAUGUGUCCUUCGGGGGAAAGAUUUAUCGCCAUUGGAGGGGCCCGCGUCUGAUUAGCUAGUUGGUGAGGUAACGGCCCACCAAGGCGACGCUCAGUAGCUGGUCUGAGAGGAUGAUCAGCCACACUGGGACUGAGACACGGCCCAGACUCCUACGGGAGGCAGCAGUGGGGAAUCUUGCGCAAUGGGCGAAAGCCUGACGCAUCCAUGCCGCGUGAAUGAUGAAGGUCUUAGGAUUGUAAAAUUCUUUCAGCGGGGACGAUAAUGACGGUACCCGCAGAAGAAGCUCCGGCUAACUUCGUG
This 433-nucleotide ribosomal RNA is filed under the name uncultured bacterium. RNAcentral's name for it is "partial 16S ribosomal RNA". It matches the Rfam family "Bacterial small subunit ribosomal RNA", at positions 29 to 507 of the family's 1533-position model. The record is from RNAcentral.